Molecule: long non-coding RNA, 7477 nt
Filed under: Equus caballus (horse)
Lineage: Eukaryota; Metazoa; Chordata; Mammalia; Perissodactyla; Equidae
Description: lncRNA (ENSECAG00000059665.1)
Source: RNAcentral
GGCAAUGCCUUUCAAAGGAGGGCAUCAAGUGAACCUCAAGUUUAUUUAAAGCGUAAGCUUCCUUGCAGGUGUGUAUAAUUAUACCCCAACUCCAAAAUGCGGUUCCGAUGAGAGGGCGUGCCGGGUGCACGCGGGCAGCAGCUUGUCCUGGGAGGUGUACUAGCUUCCUGUGGCUGCAAGUUACUACAAACUGGGUGGCUGGAAACAACAGGAAUUUCUUCUCUGACGGUUCUGGAGGCCAGAAGUCUGAAAUCAAGGCGUUGUCAAGGGGGCCGCCAUUCGAUCCACUACGUGAGGCAGUAAGAAGCAUAUUCCCGAAGGAAUUGUUGAAAUAUUGACGGACUUCAGAGCUCCGUGAGCUGGGCGGACUCACAUGGCUGGUGUCCAUGCUAUCCAACUGUCAAUGGCUCAAAUCUAAAGCCAAUUUGUUUCGAGUACAACUUGUGGAGUCUAUGUUCCAGAAAGUCUGAAGAUAUUUAGAAUCUAGGAAUCAAAAAUUCACAUUAAAAGAUAUGUAUUCUCUCCCAAGUGUUCAUUUUUAACUGUCUCAGGUAAGUGCCACAUUUAAUAUGAAUUCCUUCAACAUCUACCUUGGGCACAGGAACCAGCUCCAGUGCUAAGGGGAGCCAGGAUGACCGGUGACCAUUGUUCUUUCCUUAAGGAAUGCCUUCUUAGGGGAGGAGCCAAGAAAAUCCCUGGCAGGGGGUGGGGUGGGGGAUGGGGAUGCCCAAAGUCCUCUUCAUGCCCCCUACAUGGCCCUGACCACACCUCAUGGAGAUUCUCUCUGUCUGUGUCUCUCUCCCCCUCUAGCUAUGGCCUCUCACGGAUGGAAUCUUCUUUUGUCUUUGCAUCUUCCAUACCUACCUCAUGGCUUGGUAAAGAGUAGACAUUACUUCAUUUCUUUGCACUCUGAUGAAGUUCAAAAUCAUGCAAAGGCAUCAGUGACUAUGUCUCCCAAAGAGCUUCGACAUCAGACCCCUGGGUCUUCCCAAUCUCUGCCCUGCUCAACCGCCUCAAUAGCUCCCAUGUGCUCUUGGCCUUGUCUCGUUCCAUGAAUGAUCGCGUCCAUCACAGUAAGUUACAGCUUGUUGCUUCUGUGCCUGUCUCUCCUGGAGCUGAUAGAAGUCAGAGGUCGGCACUUGUCCCUCUGUUGUGCUCAGUACCCAGAACACGCAUGAUCUGCAAAGUUUGCCACCAAACAGUCGUGUGGGUGGAGGAGCAAAUCCAUAAGGAGGAAGAACGUGGCAGGGAGAGAUGAGAGGAAGCAGAACCUAACCUCCCACCAGGAGGGCUGGAUGGCUGGGCCCUGAGCAGCUGCAGGCAGAGUUGGGGUUCUCCACGCUCUUGGGGAGCGCACACAUCAAGAGUGGAUGGUUUCCUACAGGAGGAUGCACCACUGGUUUCUCCAGCCAGGCCGCUUACCCCCUGGGAGAAGCUUGUGCAGCCGACAGCUGGGAAAUAGCGCCUAACUUGAGGUCUGUGGUCUCUGGGCUGCUUUGGAUGGAAUAAAGAGGAGUUUUAUAAAAGGCGUGUAGCUCAAAUGUGGAAAUGUGGCUGUGAAGGCAUGCUCCAGUUCAGGGUUUCCAAAACUUCCCUGAUUAUGAACAUUCCCCAGGAUGCUAGCUGAAUGCAGAGAUUAACAGUUCCUGGCAGUUGGUCUGGAUUGGGGCCUGAGAACAGGGAACAUUUUGAUGUUUGUUUUUAAGGAGUUUCUCUGUGAGAUCCAUCCUCUGGGAUCUUUGGAAGAUACCACUCUGCUUCACGAGAAAGCUCUGUCCCCUUCAUGCUCAGUCGCUUUCCUGUCUGUAUGAGAGACACCCCAGGACUAUGGGUCCUCAUCAAGGGAAGAGUGUCCUGGAGGACUCUGGCCAGUGCCUUGGGAACCCCACUGUUCUGCAAGUGUGGGGACCUCAGUGACUCAUAUCCCUCAUGGCCACAUCAGCCCUCACUCCUUUUCAGAUAGGUGUCUUUGAAGAGUACAAUAAAAGGCCAAAAGUCUAGUGUGUGUGGGGUCCCCAGUGUGGUAGCUUGGCCACGGUUGUGUCCAACAUCAGACUCUCUGGAAAGCAUGGAUGGAAAGAAGCCCUGGUGCUGGGGGACUGCAAAGGCUGCCCGCCCCUCACAACCUGAGCCCUGCGUCCCUCCCAGGUCCUGUUUGCUCCAGCAUCGCAGAGAAGACAGGCGAGCCCCUUGGGCAGAAUUAAGAUCAUAAAGUUGAACCAUUGCAGAACUGACCUCUGAUAAAACAUAGCCCCCCUCCCUGAAGAAUCCCAGCAGAUUGACACAUCCAUACAGAUCCGUCAGCUCUGGCUGCCGUAACAAAAUGCCAUGGGCUGGGUGGCUUCAGCAAUAGACAUUUAUUUCCCACAGUUCUGGAAACUGGGAAGCCCAAGAUCAAGGUGCGGGCAGAGCUGGUGUUUGGUGAGGGCUCUCUGGCUGCCUUCUUGCUGCGUCUUCGCAUGGUGGAGAGAGAGAGACAGAGAGAGAGCUCUGGUCUCUUCCUCUUCUUAUAAGGACAUUAAUGCCAUCAUGGGGGCUCCACCCUUAGGACCUCAUUUAACUCUAAUUAUCUCCCAACAGCCCCACUUCCAAGUACCAUCACUGCGGGGAUUAGGGUUUCCACAAAUUAAUCUGAGGGGCACACAAUUCUGUCCAUAACAUCAUAUUACUCAUACCAUCCACAGCUGCAUGAAGGCAGUCCCUCUCGGCGUGUCCACGAAGCACAUCAGAGGACUCGGACUGAGUUUAGAGCCGUGGCCCACAGUAUUUGUUGCACAUGUUUAUCUGAUGAGAUGCCCUUCCUUCUGGUCUGCAGAGGUCUUUCCAAGUUGCUCGUCUGAUGAGCCUGUGGAAUUGCAAUGGCUAAACAUGUCACCAUGCCAUCUCACCAGAAGGCUCUAGAGAAUCCACUAGGAGUUAAUUCAGAGUGGUAGUUUGGUGUGAGUUUCUGGCCCCGUGGAAAGAGGCCAUGCCCUUGCAACAGUAGACUGUCCAGUAGAAGGUUGUGGACUUGAGUGGAGCUGCAUUGAACAGGGGCAAAGACAAGGAACCUGCCUGAAACAGCACAGCAUCCAGCACCCAGGUUGGAGCACUGGGUUGGGAAUAAGACAGCACCUGUGCAGGGACAGCCAGUGGCCCUGGGGCUGCCCACCGCCAUUGGCGGAGACUUCCCAAACCCACAGUGAGGCUGCAAAUGUCUGCAUGCGAGUUGCUGCCCAUCGAAUGAUGAGCUGAAGGUGAAAAAUGAGGAGACUCUGGUUUUUGUCUUCUUGGAUCCUUCUAAAAAGUUGAUUGAUUGGUUAUUGGUUGAUUUCAGAAAGCUCCCGGGACUUUUGGCAAGAUAAGAAGUGAUGAGGACCCUUGCCUUAGUGGUGUCAGUUAGACACUGAACGGAGCAAAGUGCACCCAGAGACACCUUCCUUUUGUCGUGCAUCAUAGGAAGAUGUUUAGAUGUUGUGUUAUGCACUACAGUUGAGCUGGAAGGAAGCUUCGAGCACAUUGGUCCAACUUCAGUGACUUCCCAUGGCUUGUUGGAUGAAGACUGAGCUUGACCCUCAAGGUCUUGAGAUGCCCAGCCCUUGCCCACUCUCCGCCCCAUUCCUUGUUCUCUGUGCUCAUCACAGUGUGAUUUCUUGAAGACCCUUCUCCUCCUGCCCCAGGGCUUCUGCAUGUGCUAUUGCCCCUUCCCAGAGAGCUCUCCUUCCUUCUUUUUUUGUCUUUAUAAAUCUUCCUCUCUCUCCAGCUCUCCAGCAACCUUGACCUCUCACAGAAGCCCUCCUGACAGGUCAAGCCUCACGUGCCCUCACGUCAUGUACCUGGCUCUCAGCACUCGUCUCAGCUGAAAUUUCCUGUUAUUCGUGGGACCAUUCUGCUUCUCUCUGUCUCUCCUGGCAGACUGGGAAGAGCCACAUGAAUGAGAACAGGGUCUGCUUUAUUCCCUUGUCCCCUUAGCUAUGCGACUGCACCUAACACUCAACAGGUAGUGGUGACAUGAACAAAUAAACUCCCUCCGGUCCCAGGUGAGGACACUGAGAGUCACAGCGAUAAAAGAUGAAGUGACCUGUCUCUGGCUCACAGCUAACCCUCACACCAACCUGGGUGUAGACACGAUCAUUACCUUCCUCCAUUUACAGCUGAGGCUCAGAAAAUAUGACGGUCACUGCCAGUGCCCCACCCAGAUCCCCCUGGCCCUCCCGGAGCCACCUGCAAUAGGGGAUGGCUCCCUGCCUGUCCCUCACCUCAGGUGUCCUCUGGCCACAUGAGCCGGCUGGAUCUACUCGCAGGCAGGACAGAAAGCUGGGAGUUAAGGCUCAGGGAGCAGCCCUCGAUCACUGAGGGGUGGAGGUUGGAGAAUCGAGGGCUCCCUUGCCCUUCAGGAGGCCAAUCUGAGGCGAGUUUUCCACCCGGCCUUUCCCAGGGCCCCUUGUGUGACUGAACCCCACAGAGGCAACCUGCUCAUACCACAUUCCCUUUUAGCUUUCCUUCCUGACAAAUGUCCCCACCCCCUCACAGUACUUCCUGGGAUCGCUUCCAAAAUCAACUGUUUGCACCUACAAUCCUGGAAACCCAAGCGAACACAGAGAGAGAAGAGCAGGAACUUGCCCAAGGUCAUUCAACAAGCUAGCGUUGGGAUCCAAGCCCCGGGUUCACCAUCACGCCACACAGGUACCUGCCACCUGACUCAUGCCACAUCCUCGUAAUAAGUAGGUCACUGCUAGUGGACAGAGUAAUAGCCCCCAGAGAUGUCCCCACCUUGAUCCCCAAAGCCUGUGAACGUGUUAACUUACCAGGGAAAGAGUGGAAUUAAAGUUACUAACCAACUGACUUUAAGAUGGGGAGGAUACCCUGGAUGAUCCAGGUGGGCCCAGUGAUCACGAGGGUCCUUAUAAGUGGAAGAGGGUGGCAGAGCAGGAGAGUCAUGGGGAUGCGGCCAUGAAGAAGGGCACAGACAGAUGCCCCAUUGCUGGGUUUCAAGAUGGAGGAAGGGCCUUGAACCAAAGAAUGCAGGUGGCCUCUAAGAGCUGGAAAAGGCAAGAAAACAGAUUAACAGGUUCUCCUCCAUAGCUUGCAGAAAGGAAUGCAGCCCUGCCAGCACCUUGAUUCCAGCCCAGUGAGACCCGUGAAGAACUUCUAACCUACAGAACUGUAAGAGAAAAUAUUCAUGUUGUUCAAGCCACUACAGUUGUGGUCAUUGGUCACCCCAGCAACCGGAAACAAAUACUACCCUUAAAAAAGUUAGCACUCCAUCCCCAGCUGUGAUUUAUGAACUAGGCUCGGAUUUAUUUUUAUUCUUAUGACUUAUAUGUCAAUUAAACCGCAGAAGAUCUUGAAGACGUUGUGGUCCUGGGUGGACUGAUUUUGUUUUGAAAACAUACACCUUACACUGUUAAGCAUUUACAAGGCAGGCUCUCAGAAUGCUUUGCCGACACCGGAAGAGGAGAGCUGUGCGCGAUUACCCGAGGGCUGAAUUUGCCUGGCUCCAGUUUGAUGAGUUGUUUCACUUCCGCCUGUUCUGAGCACUGAAACCACAGCAAUAUCGCCACCCUGAUACCAUCAAUUUUCAAGUGCGCGGUGAAAAUGCAUGUAAAUAAUAAACCGCCCGUGCUUCUGAACAGCUCCCACCUGUGCCUUUGGAAAACAUUCAGAGUGCAGUAAACAACUAUGAGAAGGGGAAAGAAACAGCAAAUGACGACUCAUCAAGGAACAGAUUUUUAUUAAGACUUUAGAAGAAUUUUUCCUAGAGGACAGUGGCUAAUGUGGUUGCCUAAUUGUUGGGGGACCCAAAAAGUAGUAACCUUGAGAAAUUCAAUCCAAGUGGAGAACACCUUACCUACAUGGUGAAACUUAAGGAAGCUAAAAGUUAGAGCAAAGAGGGUGAGCCCAAGAACGUCUUCUCGGGGACACACAUGGGGGGCAUAUUCAGGGCCACUGGUUUUAUGAUGCUGAGAAAAUCGAGAAUGAAUUGACUGCCCCUCCCUGAGCUCUUUCCAUGAGGAGAGGAAUUCAGAGAUGCUUAGAGGAAAUUGUCCCAUGGGGAAUGGGUGGCAGAGAGUCUAAAGAAAGGAAUGGAAGAUUCUCACUGGGAUGUGGUCCUUAGAAACUGAUUCCAUUCCAUUAAAUAUCGUUUUAAUGACCAACCAUUGUGUUCUAGAGAUUAUACUUGGUAUUUGAGAGAGAAGAAGGAACCAGGCCUUGCCUGCUUCCCAAAGCCCCAAAGCCUUAAUGGCCUGGAGGAGGCUACAGAAUGAAAACCAAAUGCAUUACGAGACAAUGCCAUACGCCCCGUCUCUGAAAGUGGACAGAGAUGUGGAAGGAGCUCAGAGGAUGGCACGGUUAGAUCUGGGUGCCUUGGAAAGCUCUCUGCAGCAGGUGCUGUUGGAGUUGCUGGCCAGAGGAAACCACCAAUCCAUGUGGUAUUUGGCUGGCAUCCUCAUCUCUUGUCAUGCAUCUGUUCUUUCUAUGGCAUUAUUCAUGCGGCCACUUCCUUAAAACCUGUUUUUCACUUCUCCCUGGGCAAGAUGUCAUAUUCUCUGGGUUAUUGGCUAGAGUGUAGGGUUAUCAGGUGACAUGGCAAUAAAGGCUUUGUGCCCCACCUUGGGCAUCCAUGGGGACCCCUGUACGGUGUUUUCUGGUUGGAAGGUUAAGUAGACCACCUCAGGCAGUGGUCUCAAGGAGAUAGGAGAAGGACCAGUUGGAAAGGGCAAUUAUUCAGAGAUAUAAACUAGAGCAGGGGGAGUAGUGGAAGCCUGGAAGGCUGUGUAGGGGUGAGGGGCCGACGGAAGCAGGAGAAGCAUGUUCCAUGAUCUGUGUGAAGGACACAGUCAUAAGAAAGGAUGUGCCACUCAGGAGCUGUGGACGAGGAUCUUGCUAGGAGGCCACACCCAUCUGGCUAAGGUUUGUGCCUACAGUGGCCCUAAGGAUAUCACAGUCUGUCCUCAUCAGCUCGGGCUGCCAUGACAAAAUGCCACAGAUGGCAGGGCUUAAACAACAGAAAUUUCUCUCUCACAGUUCUGGAGGCUGGAAGUCUGAGAUCAGGGUGUUGGCAUGGUCAGGUUUUGGGGAGAGCCUGCCUCCUGGCUUGUAGAUAGCUUCUCACUGUGUCCUCACAUGGUGGAGAGAGAGGGAGACCGCAAGCUCUCUGGUGUCUCUUCCUAUCAGGCCACUAAUCCCAUCAUGACCUUAUUUAAACCCAAUCAUCUCCCAAAGGCCCCCUCUCCAAAGACCGCCACAUGUGGGGUUAGAGCUUUCAUAUAUGGAUUUGGGGGGACACAAUUCUGUCUGUAGCACAGUCCAAAGUGGUCGAGGUGAACGACUGAGUGCACAAAUGUUCUCAUCGUCAACCUUGGAGAGAAGGUGGGAUCAUAGCUUGCUGGCCAAUGGCACGCCCAUGAAGAUGACUGGUGGCAGUUUGGGGACUGUCGGCAGCAGGUCUUCCAUGCUCCAGGAUGCUACCUGGAGACGAGACUGGUACCCAAGG